RNAcentral lists this ribosomal RNA (234 nucleotides) under uncultured bacterium. RNAcentral describes it as "partial 16S ribosomal RNA". It matches the Rfam family "Bacterial small subunit ribosomal RNA", at positions 118 to 347 of the family's 1533-position model. The record is from RNAcentral.
UGAGUAACCUGCCCUUAACUCUGGGAUAAGCCUGGGAAACUGGGUCUAAUACUGGAUAUGACUCCUCAUCGCAUGGUGGGGGGUGGAAAGCUUUUUUGUGGUUUUGGAUGGACUCGCGGCCUAUCAGCUUGUUGGUGAGGUAAUGGCUCACCAAGGCGACGACGGGUAGCCGGCCUAAGAGGGUAACCGGCCACACUGGGGCUGAGACACGGCCCAGACUCCGUACGGGAGCAG